This 708-nucleotide ribosomal RNA is filed under the name Triticum aestivum (bread wheat). RNAcentral describes it as "partial small subunit ribosomal RNA". Lineage: Eukaryota; Viridiplantae; Streptophyta; Magnoliopsida; Poales; Poaceae. The record is from RNAcentral.
AUGAACUUAAUGAGGAGGGACAACCCUGCAGUACCAGAUGACUAUUAUAUGCAUAGUUUCAUUGCUGUGCUAAACACUUACAUCCAAAGUCACCUGGAAUGUUUAGAACCUACAGACAUGAACAAAGCUAUGUGGUUAGCCAGAAGAAUUGAAAAGUCUUGUCCUCCUGCCAUUACUCAGAAACCCUAUGUGCCGAACUACACAAGAGGAACUACACGAGAAAUAUCUAAACCUGUACUUCCUGCUUCUGUUAUACAACAAGCUAGAGAAAAGGGCAUUUGUUAUAAAUGCAGAGAACCAUGGUUCCCAGGGCACAAGCAAGUGUGCAAGAUGUCACAAAAAGCACAAGUUCAGGCACUGCAAGAACAAGGAGAAAACCCUGACAUUAUCUACAUAGUAGAUGCAGAGGAGCUACAAUCAUAUGGGGAUGAAGAACCUCUUGAUAACCAAGAGCUCAAAAUUUCCAUGCAUGCAACUACAGGAGUACCUGAAGAGAAAAAGGAACAUACUUUUACUCUCCAGGUCCAAAUUGGAAAAACAGUGGGUCUAGCCUUGGUGGAUAGUGGAAGCACUACUACUUUCAUCUCCCCUGCUCUUGCUUUACAAUCUGGAUGCCCUGCCACAGCAGUAAAACAAGUCCAAGUGACAGUAGCAAAUUAUACAGUGAUUUUUCUCUCCACAACAUCAAGUACAACAUCCAAGGAGUAG